Molecule: long non-coding RNA, 1178 nt
Filed under: Homo sapiens (human)
Lineage: Eukaryota; Metazoa; Chordata; Mammalia; Primates; Hominidae
Description: HSALNT0265147
Source: RNAcentral
CCAGAUGAGCCCAGCCUGCCCAGCCUAGAUCAGCUGGACUUCAGCCAGCCUGCAUACGUAAGUGUGAGAAAGAAGUGCUUGUUGUUGUAUACCUCUGAGUUUGGGGGUGCCUUGUUAGGUAGUUCUACUGGGACUAUAGCUAACUAAUACCUCUUUUCAGCCGGUCUCAUGGCAGCUGUCACAGUGCUCAGCAACCAUGUGUGGUCACUCCCCGCUAGAGCUCUUGGGAGCCCAAGAGAAGAGAGUUCUAUUCUAUUGCCCAGGUUGGAGUGUAGUAGCACAAUCAUAACUCACUGCAUUCUCGACCUCCUAGGCUUAAGCGAUCUUCCCACCUUAGCCUCUGAGUAGCUGGGACCACCGGCACACACCACCAAGCCCAGCUGAUUUUUUGUUUUUGUAGAGAUGAAGUCUCGUUAUGUUGCACAGGCUGAUCUCAAGAACUUCUGGCCUCAAGCAAUCUUCCUGCCUCAGCCUCCUUAAGUGCUGGGAUUACAGGCUUGAGCCAUCAUGCCCAGCCCCAAGACCAAGGUUCUUUGUCCCUGGCACCUGGGUUGGCCUACCCAGUGGCUGGAAACUUUUCCCAAUCUCCUUCAUCUGUACCUGGCUUCAAGAUUCACCUGUGUCUGGAACCCCUGACACUGCAAAUCCUUCCUUUCUUAUUGAUUGAGUCCUCUAUGGCCUAGUGUCACAUCCACACCACUGGGGUCCCUUCCCCAGCAUCAUCUCACCUGCCCCAAGGUUUUCUCUUUGCCACUGACCCCCUCCAUCACCCCAGUUCCCAGCACCCAGCAUGCCUAGAGAUCAGUGUCAGACUGCAGGUUAGGCAAAUUCGCCCUUUUUCUUUCUCUUCUCUUCUCUUUCCUUCCUUCCUACCUUCCUUCCUUCCUUCCUUCCUUCCUUUCUUUCUCCUUCCUUCCUUCCUUCCUUCCUUCCUUCCUUCCUUCCUUCCUUCCUUCCUUCCUUCCUUUUCUCCCUUUCUUUUUUUGACAGAGUCUUGCUUUUGUUGCCCAGGCUGGAGUGCAGUGGCACGAUCUUGGCUUACUGCAAUUUCUGCAUCCCAGGUUCAAGCAAUUCUCCUGCCUCAGCCUCCUGAGUAGCUGAGAUUACAGGCAUGUGCCAACAUGCCAGGCUAAUUUUUGGUUUUUGUUUGUAUUUUUAGGAGACAGGUUUUCACCAUG